CUGGGGCUGGGUGCUGCAGAGCUGGCAUCACUCUGAUCCUAGCUGGAGGAGAGCUGCACGGGCUCAUUCACUGCCUGUGCCUGCCGAGCAGAACCUCCUCGUGCCCAGGGUCCUGCAAAUGACUGAGCCAUCGAGGAGGAAACAUGCUGCACACAGAUAUGCCAAGCUAUCGAUGCCUGCCAAAGUGGAUACUGCACAUUACAUAUUGCAAGCAUAUUCAGAUAACACCUAUAACUCCACAAAAGCAUUGGUGCUUUAUUCUACUGCAGAGGCAGAAAAUUACAGAGACAUCCACCUCCAACGCUCGUCAUAAUCUGGGACUUCACUGAAGCUGGAGCAAAGACUGUGAAGAGAAGAAAGAUGCAGUAACAGUAACUACAGGAAGGUGAAAGAGCAAAGAAUGACUGUGUGGUGGAAGGUGCAACCUAAAGUGUUCAAGUCUGUCCUUUACUUGAUUUAAAGUGAAGAUUAGAACGUCGGUCUUCAACAUCCAGAGAGAAGACCUAAAAUUUAGACUGAAAUAAUGCCUAAUAAUUUUUUUUCUGCCGUACAAGAGAUGGAUGGAAACAUAAACAAGAAGAACUAGUAGCCAAGUAAUGUGGAACAGUUACUGGAAUGUUGCACAAAAACCAUAAUAUAGAGCGGUAUGUAAGUCUGCCACAGUCCUGGGAAGGGCCCUCAUUAAAAUAUUUUUUAUGUUAUGCUGCAGAACUUGCUUUUCAUAUGAAACACUUGGAGAAUCUGGCUUAUGACCCAAGACAAAAUGAGAAAAAAAUAUGAAAUAUCCCAAAAUGUUGUAAUGUAGGAGAAUCACAUCCUGCACACCUUUACACUAGGAGAAUUGAAGGAUUUGUGACACUUGUGAAUCCAUGCUCCAGAAUGGACAUCUGCACACUGGAAAACACUGAUCCUUUUUAAAAUUUGAUUUUUGCCUUGAAGCCUGUCCAGAAGCACAGAAACGGAAUUGUCCAAAGGUCACUCAAAAUUGUAUCAACAAGUGACAAAUCUUUGGCAGUGAAAUGUUGAUUUUAUGGAAGGUGAUUGCAGACACCAAUGCCUCAGUUUCUUAGUGUGUUGUACAUAAAAAGAGCAAAAUUCAUUUGCAUAGUCAAGUUUAUGUACCUGGAAAUGUGAAUGAGUUGGAAAUAUAUCUACUGAUGCGAUACCAACAUGAAGCUUUCAAGGGCUGAUUUUCAGUACACAUACAGUGAAAAUAAACUUAUAUUUGAGGGUUAAGGAAGUCAAUAAAGUUUAAGUUUAUAAGACUUGUUGAUAACAGGACUAUGCUAAGUGAAGUUGCAGGAAACAUUGGAAUGCUUUUAAUAAAUUGUAUCAUUUUAGACUUAGACCUCAAUGAAAUGUCUCACUGAAUUUCACAGAAAUUGUGUAAAAAUAGCAGAAGCAAAAUAAGUUCUUAGAAAUGUAAAAUAAAGAGAGAAAUAAAGAAUUUAAACCACCUGAAACAGGUUGCUGAACUGACUAAAUCACCAUUCUUGGAUGAUGUCACCAAAGUAGAUGAACACAGAUCUAUAAUAAACUUCAUAUCAAUAAUAGAUUUUGCACUAGAGAUUGUGAUUUU
Long non-coding RNA from Melospiza melodia melodia, 1579 nucleotides. RefSeq lists it as uncharacterized. The record is from RefSeq and is a predicted model, not a curated record. The transcript is spliced from 3 exons. Lineage: Eukaryota; Metazoa; Chordata; Aves; Passeriformes; Passerellidae.